Molecule: long non-coding RNA, 279 nt
Filed under: Brassica napus (rape)
Lineage: Eukaryota; Viridiplantae; Streptophyta; Magnoliopsida; Brassicales; Brassicaceae
Description: long non-coding RNA (BNAP_LNC000667)
Source: RNAcentral
ACUGGGAUCAGAUGUUUAAAAUAGUUUCAGUCUUUAUUUGUGUUUUGGUUUCCGCAAGAUAUGACGACGGAGAUUCAGAAUUUCUUCUCACAUUUUUGGACAAGACCAACAUUAAAAGCCGGUAAAAAUGCCUCUUUUGGUCGCUUUUCCACAUAUCAGUAAAUCUAUUGCUUUUUAAGUUUUUGAUUUUAAUAGAUCCAUGGGCAUGAUGAGUUGAAAGCGAUACAUGUAGGACCAUAGCUACGCUACCAAGGGGUCACACGAAAAUAAUGAGAAGUC